AACGAACGCUGGCGGCAGGCCUAACACAUGCAAGUCGAACGCUCCGCAAGGGGAGUGGCGCACGGGUGAGUAACACGUGGGAACCUACCUUCUGGUACGGAACAACCAAGGGAAACUUUGGCUAAGACCGUAUACGACCUCCGGGUGAAAGAUUGAUCGCCGGAAGAGGGGCCCGCGUCCGAUUAGGUAGUUGGUGAGGUAACGGCUCACCAAGCCUUCGAUCGGUAGCUGGUCUGAGAGGAUGACCAGCCACACUGGGACUGAGACACGGCCCAGACUCCUACGGGAGGCAGCAGUGGGGAAUAUUGGACAAUGGGCGCAAGCCUGAUCCAGCCAUGCCGCGUGAGUGAUGAAGGCCUCGGUUGUUAA
This 369-nucleotide ribosomal RNA is filed under the name uncultured bacterium. RNAcentral describes it as "bacterial SSU rRNA". It matches the Rfam family "Bacterial small subunit ribosomal RNA", at positions 29 to 429 of the family's 1533-position model. The record is from RNAcentral.